AAACCUCUGCCAUGUUCGUCACGAGUUCAAAAUUGUUGACCCUAUAACAAUCCGCAGGGAAUCUCUCGAAACCAGCCGCGUGUACAUCCCAUGCCGCUUCUCUGAAGCGAAAUCGGCUCACACAACCUGGUUCCCCGAUUCCCACUUUGCAACGCGGGUUCAAACAUCAGGGCUCGAACGGCAUUGCGGUGGAGGUUUC
This 199-nucleotide non-coding RNA is filed under the name Planctomycetaceae bacterium. Its description in RNAcentral is "6S RNA". It matches the Rfam family "6S / SsrS RNA". From Rfam's summary of the family: E. coli 6S RNA was the first non coding RNA to be sequenced, but its function was unknown until recently. It consists of 184 nucleotides that fold into an extended hairpin structure with a large single-stranded internal bulge. The record is from RNAcentral. Lineage: Bacteria; Pseudomonadati; Planctomycetota; Planctomycetia; Planctomycetales; Planctomycetaceae.